RNAcentral lists this long non-coding RNA (1047 nucleotides) under Cyanistes caeruleus (blue tit). RNAcentral's name for it is "lncRNA (ENSCCEG00000017002.1)". The record is from RNAcentral. Lineage: Eukaryota; Metazoa; Chordata; Aves; Passeriformes; Paridae.
CUUUGCAUUACAUACAUGAUAAAAACAUCAGGAAAUUAAUGUACACUGCAGCUAAUCUCUGCAUUAUUUAUCCCUUUUAAUUUACUGCUUAGUCUUUGCAAAAAAAACCUCCACAUAAAUAAGGUAUUUAAAUAAUAAUUUUUCAACUAUAACAUUCCGUUUAUUAAACUGUGCAUCAGAUGAGAAGGAUGGGGUGACACUAAGAGCUAAUCAAACAGCAGCUUGGGUCCUAUGGCUGAUAACUGUCAGGAGAAGGGAAAUUAUCACUCAUCCUGAUUUCUGACUAAGCAGUGCUUCCACCAGCCUCGUAAAGAGCAUGGCAUGACUCUGCACUGGUGGGUAAGAGGAUGGUUGGGCAUGGCUUGAAAACUGCACUUCACGAGAGGCACCUUCAUUUAUAUCCACUCCAGGUUAAUUCAGCGCUGGAAUGGAGUGUCAUUUAGUCCAAGCAAUGCCAACACAGGUGUCACAGACCCUGUGAUUCAGAGGUGUUACUCUGUACAGUGAGCACCAAACAGGCCAAGUUGUGGUGGAGUGUGGGGCACCAAAACCAGCAAAAACAGCACAGCAGGUUCCUGUCACAUGUGAGGAAUAGCCAAGUGUCAGGGGGAGAACAUUUCUCAUGCACACAGCUGACAGCGUGCAAAUGUCUGCAAAGCUCCAGCCAGACCCUGGAAGAACACCCCCCCCCAGAAAUAACCUGAUGGAUCUGGAAGCAAACUAGAUGAGUAAGACUGAGAACGUGUUCACAGCCAUCCAUUGUCACCAAGGCUGUGCAGCAGACCGUCACAUUGUGCCACAGCCUGUGAUACAGCUACGGCAACAAGGCUCCUCUCCUGAUGGCAGACAGAUCUCUGGUGGAACUGCUGAACUGGGGACAGAAGACAAUACAAGAGAGGCAAGUUUAUACCUGCCACAGCUUCAAGGGGAUGCAAGGAUGGUGAAAACUCACAGAGAGUUCCUCCCUGGUUUCUUUCUCAGACUGGUGAUUAUUCUGUAAUUUUUCUUUCAAAUAAAACUGCCAGUGUUCAUUGAAAUAAUUGAUUU